AGAGUUUGAUCAUGGCUCAGAACGUACGCUGGCGGCACGCCUUAUACAUGCAAGUCGAACGAAGUAGCAAUACUUAGUGGCAGACGGGUGAGUAACAUGUAGGUAUCUACCCUUUGGUGAGGAAUAACACGAGGAAACUUGUGCUAAUACCUCAUAAGUCUUUACGGAGAAAGCUUUAUGCGCCGAAGGAUGAGCCUGCACUUGAUUAGUUUGUUGGUGGGGUAAUGGCCUACCAAGACUUUGAUCUAUAGCUGAUCUGAGAGGAUGAUCAGCCACAUUGGGACUGAGACACGGCCCAAACUCCUACGGGAGGCAGCAGUAGGGAAUAUUGCACAAUGGAGGAAACUCUGAUGCAGCGAUGCCGCGUGAGUGAAGAAGGCCUUUGGGUUGUAAAGCUCUUUCGUCGGGGAAGAAAAUGACUGUACCCGAAUAAGAAGGUCCGGCUAACUUCGUGCCAGCAGCCGCGGUAAUACGAAGGGACCUAGCGUAGUUCGGAAUUACUGGGCUUAAAGAGUUCGUAGGUGGUUAAAAAAGUUGGUGGUGAAAUCCCAGAGCUUAACUCUGGAACUGCCAUCAAAACUUUUUAGCUAGAGUAUGAUAGAGGAAAGCAGAAUUUCUAGUGUAGAGGUGAAAUUCGUAGAUAUUAGAAAGAAUACCAAUUGCGAAGGCAGCUUUCUGGAUCAUUACUGACGCUGAGGAACGAAAGCAUGGGUAGCGAAGAGGAUUAGAUACCCUCGUAGUCCAUGCCGUAAACGAUGUGUGUUAGACGUUGGAAAUUUAUUUUCAGUGUCGCAGCGAAAGCGU
This 804-nucleotide ribosomal RNA is filed under the name marine metagenome. RNAcentral's name for it is "bacterial SSU rRNA". It matches the Rfam family "Bacterial small subunit ribosomal RNA", at positions 8 to 860 of the family's 1533-position model. The record is from RNAcentral.